GUGGAGUGUAUAGAAACUUUUGAAUUGUGUUAGGAUGGGUUAGGCCCAUUAGAAUUUUGAGUUAAGCCCAUUAAGGGGGAUAACACUAGGGUUGUCUUAGAAUGGUUAUUCAUUUCACAAAACAAUUUUCAUAGAGAGAAGGAGAGGUAGAGAGAGAAGAGGUGAAGAGAAGAGCAAGAGGGUUGAAGGGAAGCUUUAGGAAUCAAGUGGGUGACCUAGGAGCUGAAUUGAAGCAAGGGUUAGAGAUAAUCAACUUCAAAGGUAAAGGGGUUAGUCAUCAUCAUAAUCAUAAUUGUUUGCUUGCAAUUUUUCUUGGUUUGUAUGAAAAAGUGCUUAAUUGAGUGAGAAUUCAUAUGAACCCAAUCUCUAAUUUUCGUGCUCUUGUUUUGGUGAUAAGUUUGAGUAUGUUAAUUGAAUGAUAAAUGAAUUGUUGGUGAUGAAAUAACAUGUUCAUAAUGUAUGAAAAUGGGUUGUUGUGAAAUUAUGCUUAAUUGAUGACUUAUGACAUGUUGUUGUUGAAUUGAGGUGUGAAUCAAGUUUCAAUUGAUGUUGUUGUUGCUGAGAUACGUUGUUGAUUAUGAAUUAUGGCUUGGGUGCUCAUUUAUCAUGAUUGUUGUUGAGAAAAUGAGCUGUUGUUGGUGGUUUUGUAAAAUGGGUUGAUAAAGAAGAAGUUUGAUAUUGAUGAUGUUGAAUGAGAUAAGGAAGUUGUUAGAAUGAAUUAGGAUGGUAUGAUUUUCUGUUUUAAUCACUUGGUUUUGGAGAGAAAUCGUUUUGGGAAGAAAACGGGUUUUUGAGUAAAAGUGAUUUUUAAGUGCUUUUGCAAAAUAAGUCAUUUUGGGAUGAGUUGAUUAAGUUGUUUUAAUGUUUAAAUGUCAAGUUUUCAAGUGUGGUAUGUAUGGUCUAAGUGUUAGGAAUGCAUUGGCGAAAACGGAAUUGAAAUCGGAUUCGAAAACAAGAUUUUAUGCGCAAAAACGUAAAAAUGCAUUUUGCUGUACUGGUGAGGUGACACGACCGUGCGUCUAGAUGGCACGACCGUGUCAGUUUCUCCUGUAAAGGGAGCACGACCGUGCGUCCUGAUGACACGACUGUGUCAGUUUCUCCUGUAAAGGGAUCACGACCGUGCUUCCUUAUGGCACGACCGUGUCAGUUCUGCAGAAUUCCAAAACCUCAUUAUGUUCGUGUUUUUAUGUACUUUUAAGCAUGCCAAUGGAUUCCAAACACCUAACCUUAUUCAAUCAAUUUAUGAUUAAGCUUCUAAGAGUAUCAUAGCUUGAUUCUAACUUGGUUUUGUUUUGAAAAUGAAUUGGUUUUGCAAUAUGGAAGAAAUGAUAUGAACUUGUCGUAAUUCGGUAAUUUUGAUGAUUUUGUCGAAAUGAACUUUUGUGAUAGUUCAUGUUGAGUGAUUAUAUGUUGGAUAUGAUAUUUGUCAUGAGAUGUUGUAUGUUCUCUUACUUGGAAUAGGAGAAUUGUUUGAAAUGGUGAAACUAUAUGUGAUAGUUGAUGUUGAAUAACAUUGUUGAUUAUUGAUGAUCAUGUUGAUGUGAUGAUGAUGAAUGCUAUGAUUUAUUUGUGUGGGCAUGUUUUCUUGAUAAUGCAAUGUUGUGGAGAUGAUCAAUAUAAUUGGGUGUUGUCCUAUAUAUUGAGGUUGAGAUUGUGGAUUGUUGUCGCAUUAUCGAGUUCUUAUACAUGUCCAUGCAUCAUAGUCGAGUUCUUGUAUAAGAGUCCGGCUCUUUUACUUCGGAGAUUAUGUAAGGAGCCUUACAUACGAUGUUGACUUGUCCAUCGGAGGUGACAACCUUUUGGAGAUUUGGUACCACAUGCAUUUAUGUGUCAAUAAGUGCAUAUCAUAACAUGAGUCUUAUGUGAAAUUCGUGAUUGGUGAUGAAAUGAGAUGAAUGAUUAUUGAUGAUGUUGUGAUCGAUGCUUGUGAAUGAAUAACUAUGAGUGGAUAAUUGUUCAAUAAUCGAUGUUUGUGAAUGAAUAUUUAUGAUUGGAUAAUUUUUCAUGUGAUUGAUAUAUGUUGAUAUGAGUUAUCAAGUUGCAAUGUAAGUAUCUAUGCAUGACUAAUAUUAUUCAAAUACAUGAUAUUAUUGAUUUGAUUGUUAUCUGGAUUAUGAUAAUGUAAUACUUACCCCAAGUGGUUUUAACCGCCUACUUGCCUGUAUGGGUGAGUAGACGUUGUGCAGGAGUAGUGCUCGGUGAGUCUUUGCUUGGGAUAUCGGGAGCUUUCUCCGAUAUCGGUGUCGUGUCGGCUCUGAUCUAGG
RNAcentral lists this long non-coding RNA (2264 nucleotides) under Medicago truncatula (barrel medic). RNAcentral describes it as "long non-coding RNA (MTRU_LNC008536)". Lineage: Eukaryota; Viridiplantae; Streptophyta; Magnoliopsida; Fabales; Fabaceae. The record is from RNAcentral.